UAGGCCGGCGCCGUGGCUCAAUAGGCUAAUCCUCCACCUUGCGGCGCCGGCACACCGGGUUCUAGUCCCGGUCGGGGCGCCGGAUUCUGUCCCGGUUGCCCCUCUUCCAGGCCAGCUCUCUGCUAUGGCCAGGGAGUGCAGUGGAGGAUGGCCCAGGUGCUUGGGCCCUGCACCCCAUGGGAGCCCAGGAAAAGCACCUGGCUCCUGGCUCCUGCCAUCGGAUCAGCGCGGUGCGCCGGCCGC
Oryctolagus cuniculus (rabbit) is the source of this 243-nucleotide non-coding RNA. The record is from RefSeq and is a predicted model, not a curated record. NCBI's taxonomy places the organism in Eukaryota, Metazoa, Chordata, Mammalia, Lagomorpha, Leporidae.